UGAAACUGACCUUUACCAUUUUUGCUGUUUUUACCCCUUAACUCCAGAACAUUCAGUCAUAGAUAGUCCAAACUAUACCUUUUUGGAAUCUGUAUGAUCAGACAAAUAAUGUGGUAUGGUGUUCAACAUGACUGUAGCAUUUUUAAAUAUUGACCCCUGUAGCUCAUUAGAGGUCAGCUCCAGGAUGGCUCCAUAUCUGAAAAUAAACAUUGCUUAAUUUAGAAUAUGUGUGCCAAAUUUCAUGCUUUUAUCACAAACUGAACAAUUGUUAUGGCAAUUUUAGCUAAGCUGCACCUCUCCCGAGGAACCCCUCAGGGUUAGUAAGAGCAUCACAUGUUGGUGUGUGUGUACGUACGUGUGUGUUACUGGCUCAUGUUCAGGUUUCACCCACUCAGGCAGAGCUCACACAGUGUAGGCGGAGUCUCAGUUCCUUUCCUUUCUGCUGUCAGCAGAAUCAACCACAUAAUCAAGUAACGAUGACUGAGACAGUUCCCGUUGCAAUACAUCAGUCUGCUAUUAUGGGAGUGGACGUUUCCUGGGAUGAGUGCUGUUCCCAUAUUCUUAAUUUGCAGUCACUGUGCAGCUUUGGAGAUGGAAAUGGGAGGAGUUAACCAAAUGUGUUUGUGUGUCUGUAGUCACAUGCUGACUGGAGCCUGUUUGUUUUAUUCAAGUUGUCACUGUUUUUAUUUUCUAAGAGGGAAUGGUGACCUUUUCUGCUUUUUGGAUAAUGAUGGAAAGGUAGAAUUGGACCUGGGUUAAGCUCAACUCUCCCAAAACCUCAGUAGUAUGUCUUGCUUAUGCUUAAGUUGGGCGUUUCUCUCUAUAUAUGCUACUUUUCCAUUCAGUCCUAUCAUUUUCCGUUGGCAGCACUGCACGAGCGUGUUUACCCAGGGCUCGACGGUUGUAAGUUUGAAAAAGGCAGCAGUAUAUAGAUUUUUAAGCCUCAAGGAAGUGUUUGUUGUGUGAUUUCUAGAAAGAUGACAGAGGGCUGAAGUGUGUGUGUGUGUGUGUGUGUGUGUGUGUGUGUGUGUGUGUGUGUGUGUGUGUGUGUGUGAGAGAGAGCUGCAGUCACGCUAUGAUAACAUUGUGUGGCAUCUGCACAGAGCAGACAGUGUUUGCUCCCUCCUCCUCUGUGGAACAAUCAGCGUACUGUGCUAUGUGCAGGGCCACAGCAGUCAGAAUGGUAAUUAUGGCCGCUUCUGGCCAGAUUGGCGGCUUUUUUUUUUUAAUAAUGAAAACCAAAGAGCCAGACAAAGAGGACAAAAAUUGAAAAAGGAAAAGACCGGGGCAGGCAGAGCUGACCCAAAGCACAGCUGCAGGGUGGGUGUGGAUCUGCUGUGAGCGGAUGGAAAAAAAAAAGGUACAAAACUCAUUUCCAUAUUUACAGUCAGGGCCGCGCAUCUCUCUGUGCUUGUUGUUGACACUUUCA
Thalassophryne amazonica is the source of this 1429-nucleotide long non-coding RNA. RefSeq lists it as uncharacterized. Lineage: Eukaryota; Metazoa; Chordata; Actinopteri; Batrachoidiformes; Batrachoididae. The record is from RefSeq and is a predicted model, not a curated record. The transcript is spliced from 3 exons.